RNAcentral lists this ribosomal RNA (567 nucleotides) under uncultured Glomeromycotina. RNAcentral's name for it is "SSU rRNA". It matches the Rfam family "Eukaryotic small subunit ribosomal RNA", at positions 548 to 1114 of the family's 1831-position model. Lineage: Eukaryota; Fungi; Glomeromycota. The record is from RNAcentral.
UUGGAGGGCAAGUCUGGUGCCAGCAGCCGCGGUAAUUCCAGCUCCAAUAGCGUAUAUUAAAGUUGUUGCGGUUAAAAAGCUCGUAGUUGAACUUCGGGGUCUACCCAUUGGUCAGGCUUAAUUGUCUGUACUGGUGAGAUGGAUCUCUACCUUCUGAGGAACUUUCAUGCCAUUUAUUUGGUGUGAUGGGAAAUCAGGACUGUUACUUUGAAAAAAUUAGAGGGUUUAAAGCAGACUAUCGUCUGAAUACAUUAGCAUGGAAUAAUGAAAUAGGACGGACUGAUUCUAUUUCGUUGGUUUCUAGGAUCACCGUAAUGAUUAAUAGGGAUAGUUGGGGGCAUUAGUAUUCAAUUGUCAGAGGUGAAAUUCUUGGAUUUAUUGAAGACUAACUACUGCGAAAGCAUUUGCCAAGGAUGUUUUCAUUAAUCAGGAACGAAAGUUAGGGGAUCGAAGACGAUCAGAUACCGUCGUAGUCUUAACCAUAAACUAUGCCGACUAGGGAUCGGACGAAGUUAAUUUUAUAAUGACGCGUUCGGCACCUUACGGGAAACCAAAGUGUUUGGGUUC